ACAGGCAUGAAAUCCCCGGGCUCAACCUGGGAAUGGCGCUUGUGACUGCAAAGCUGGAGUGCGGCAAAGGGGGAUGGAAUUCCGCGUGUAGCAAUGAAAUGCGUAAAUGUGCGGAGGAACACCGAUGGCGAAGGCAAUCCCCUGGGCCUGCACUGACGCUCAUGCACGAAAGCGUGGGGAGCAAACAGGAUUAAAUACCCUGGUAGUCCACGCCCUAAACGAUGUCAACUGGUUGUUGGUCCUUAGCUGGAUCAGUAACGAAGCUAACGCGUGAAGUUGACCGCCUGGGGAGUACGGCCGCAAGGUUGAAACUCAAAGGAAUUGACGG
Molecule: ribosomal RNA, 328 nt
Filed under: uncultured bacterium
Lineage: Bacteria
Description: bacterial SSU rRNA
Rfam family: Bacterial small subunit ribosomal RNA
Source: RNAcentral